RNAcentral lists this transfer RNA (75 nucleotides) under Patescibacteria group bacterium. RNAcentral describes it as "tRNA-Arg". It matches the Rfam family "tRNA". Rfam says of the family: Transfer RNA (tRNA) molecules are approximately 80 nucleotides in length. Their secondary structure includes four short double-helical elements and three loops (D, anti-codon, and T loops). The record is from RNAcentral.
GCUCUCAUAGCUCAACGGAUAGAGCAUCUCCCUUCUAAGGAGGCGAUGUGAGUUCGAUUCUCACUGAGAGCGCCA